GGGCGUUUAGCGCAGUGGUAGCGCGUAUGCUUUGCAUCUCACUGAAGCUCCGAAACUGUAUAAGGUCCAGGGUUCAAUCCCCUGAACGUCCA
This is a non-coding RNA of Paramarasmius palmivorus, 92 nucleotides long. The record is from the annotation of a GenBank genome assembly. NCBI's taxonomy places the organism in Eukaryota, Fungi, Basidiomycota, Agaricomycetes, Agaricales, Marasmiaceae.